CGAGCACGCGCGUGUGGCAUAUCAAUAAGCGGAGGAAAAGAAACUAACAAGGAUUCCCCUUAGUAACGGCGGGUGAAGCGGGAAGAGCUCAAAUUUGAAAUCUUCAAGGUUUUACCUUGACGAAUUGUAGUUUAAAGAAGUGUUUUCGGUUAGAGGAGUGGUAAAAGUUCUUUGGAAUAGGACAUCAUAGAGGGUGAGAAUCCCGUAUUUGACCAUUCUUUCUAGCUUUGUGAUACACUUUCAACGAGUCGGAUUGUUUGGGAAUGCAGUCCAAAAUGGGUGGUAAAUUUCAUCUAAAGCUAAAUAUUGGCGAGAGACCGAUAGCGAACAAGUACCGUGAGGGAAAGAUGAAAAGAACUUUGAAAAGAGAGUUAAACAGUACGUGAAAUUGUCAAAAGGGAAGCGUUUGACACCAGUGUUGUUUUUCCGAAAAUCAAUUACGAAUGUUUUAUUUUUAGAGAGUUAUGACUUCAUCGGCUUGCUUCCUUUCUUUACGAAACUUUCUUAAUGCACUUUUCGGUUAACAAGUCAACAUCAAUUUCUUUUGUUGUAAAAGGGUAUGAGGAAGGUGGCUUUCUUUUCGGAGAAAGUGUUUAUAGCCUUGUGCCUCUGCAAUCGGAGAGAUUGAGGUCUGCAGCGUAGAUCCUUCGGGGUUAGAUACAGUUUGUGCUAAGUUAUAGCUUUUCAUAGACAACUUGUUGACUAUGUUUAGUCUUGUAGCUUACUCGCUGAUGCUAUUUUACCUACGCUUAGGAUGUUGAUGUGAUACUGCGAGCA
This 777-nucleotide ribosomal RNA is filed under the name uncultured Neocallimastigales. Its description in RNAcentral is "partial large subunit ribosomal RNA". It matches the Rfam family "Eukaryotic large subunit ribosomal RNA", at positions 19 to 646 of the family's 3401-position model. Lineage: Eukaryota; Fungi; Neocallimastigomycota; Neocallimastigomycetes; Neocallimastigales. The record is from RNAcentral.